Molecule: non-coding RNA, 30 nt
Filed under: Homo sapiens (human)
Lineage: Eukaryota; Metazoa; Chordata; Mammalia; Primates; Hominidae
Source: RNAcentral
UGACAAGAAGUGUGCAAUAUUUACCUGGAU